GCGUUGUCCGGAAUCACUGGGCGUAAAGGGCGCGUAGGUGGUGGCUUAAGCGUGCGGUGAAAGCUCGGGGCUCAACCCCGAGUCGGCCGUGCGAACUGGGCGCACUGGAGCAUAGUAGAGGCAGGUGGAAUUCCGGGUGUAGCGGUGGAAUGCGUAGAGAUCCGGAAGAACACCGGUGGCGAAGGCGGCCUGCUGGGCUAUGGCUGACACUGAGGCGCGACAGCGU
This 226-nucleotide ribosomal RNA is filed under the name uncultured bacterium. RNAcentral describes it as "partial 16S ribosomal RNA". It matches the Rfam family "Bacterial small subunit ribosomal RNA", at positions 538 to 762 of the family's 1533-position model. The record is from RNAcentral.